Molecule: non-coding RNA, 74 nt
Organism: Pelecanus crispus (Dalmatian pelican)
Lineage: Eukaryota; Metazoa; Chordata; Aves; Pelecaniformes; Pelecanidae
Source: Rfam
GCCGGGUUAGCUCAGUUGAUUAGAGCAUGGCGCUAAUAACACCAAGUUCACAGGUUCAAUCCCUGCUCACUGCA